CAGUGGCGAAGGCGACUCUCUGGUCUGUUACUGACGCUGAGCUCGAAAGCGUGGGGAGCAAACAGGAUUAGAUACCGUGGUAGUCCACGCCGUAAACGAUGAGUGCUAAGUGUUAGGGGGUUCCGCCCUUUAGUGCUGCAGCUAACGCAUUAAGCACUCCGCUGGGGAGUACGACCGCAAGGUUGAAACUCAAAGGAAUUGACGGGGGCCCGUACAAGCGGUGGAGCAUGUGGUUUAAUUCGAAGCAACGCGAAGAACCUUACCAGGUCUUGACAUCCUUUGACAACUCUAGAGAUAGAGCUUUCCCUUCGGGGACAAAGUGACAGGUGGUGCAUGGUUGUCGUCAGCUCGUGUCGUGAGAUGUUGGGUUAAGUCCCGCAACGAGCGCAACCCUUAUUGUUAGUUGCCAUCAUUCAGUUGGGCACUCUAGCGAAACUGCCGGUGACAAACCGGAGGAAGGUGGGGAUGACGUCAAAUCAUCAUGCCCCUUAUGACCUGGGCUACACACGUGCUACAAUGGACAGUACAAUGAGCAGCGACACGGCGACGUGAAGCGAAUCUCAUAAAGCUGUUCUCAGUUCGGAUUGUAGGCUGCAACUCGCCUACAUGAAGCCGGAAUCGCUAGUAAUCGCGGAUCAGCACGCCGCGGUGAAUACGUUCCCGGGCCUUGUACACACCGCCCGUCACACCACGAAAGUUUGUAACACCCAAAGUCAGUGAGGUAACCUUCGGGAGCCAGCCGCCUAAGGUGGGAUAGAUGAUUGGGGUGAAGUCGUAACAAGGUAACCA
Molecule: ribosomal RNA, 789 nt
Filed under: uncultured Vagococcus sp.
Lineage: Bacteria; Bacillati; Bacillota; Bacilli; Lactobacillales; Enterococcaceae
Description: bacterial SSU rRNA
Rfam family: Bacterial small subunit ribosomal RNA
Source: RNAcentral